AGUUCUCGUUGAUGAUCGGUGCUUGCACCGAGAUUCAACAUGGAACGAGUGGCGGACGGGUGAGUAACACGUGGGUAACCUGCCCUUAAGUGGGGGAUAACAUUUGGAAACAGAUGCUAAUACCGCAUAGAUCCAAGAACCGCAUGGUUCUUGGCUGAAAGAUGGCGUAAGCUAUCGCUUUUGGAUGGACCCGCGGCGUAUUAGCUAGUUGGUGAGGUAAUGGCUCACCAAGGCGAUGAUACGUAGCCGAACUGAGAGGUUGAUCGGCCACAUUGGGACUGAGACACGGCCCAAACUCCUACGGGAGGCAGCAGUAGGGAAUCUUCCACAAUGGACGCAAGUCUGAUGGAGCAACGCCGCGUGAGUGAAGAAGGCUUUCGGGUCGUAAAACUCUGUUGUUGGAGAAGAAUGGUCGGCAGAGUAACUGUUGUCGGCGUGACGGUAUCCAACCAGAAAGCCACGGCUAACUACGUGCCAGCAGCCGCGGUAAUACGUAGGUGGCAAGCGUUAUCCGGAUUUAUUGGGCGUAAAGCGAGCGCAGGCGGUUUUUUAAGUCUGAUGUGAAAGCCCUCGGCUUAACCGAGGAAGCGCAUCGGAAACUGGGAAACUUGAGUGCAGAAGAGGACAGUGGAACUCCAUGUGUAGCGGUGAAAUGCGUAGAUAUAUGGAAGAACACCAGUGGCGAAGGCGGCUGUCUGGUCUGUAACUGACGCUGAGGCUCGAAAGCAUGGGUAGCGAACAGGAUUAGAUACCCUGGUAGUCCAUGCCGUAA
RNAcentral lists this ribosomal RNA (772 nucleotides) under Lactobacillus casei group sp. RNAcentral describes it as "bacterial SSU rRNA". It matches the Rfam family "Bacterial small subunit ribosomal RNA", at positions 60 to 805 of the family's 1533-position model. The record is from RNAcentral. Lineage: Bacteria; Bacillati; Bacillota; Bacilli; Lactobacillales; Lactobacillaceae.